This is a non-coding RNA of Pocillopora verrucosa, 337 nucleotides long. The record is from RefSeq and is a predicted model, not a curated record. NCBI's taxonomy places the organism in Eukaryota, Metazoa, Cnidaria, Anthozoa, Scleractinia, Pocilloporidae.
CGUCACCGUCUUCCUUUUUUUGGUUUUUGCUAUCACGGAAGGAAUAUUUAUAUUCAGCGACUUUCGACUUUGUUCGGCAGGAAUCUAUUCAUUCUCAGAGAGACACCUUAGAGAAAGAUUGUACAAGUGUUUUGAGUCAGAUCACUGCCAAGUGCAAGAAAGAUUGUCAUGAAUCCCCAGGUUGUUCUACUGCUCAUGCUGGUAGCCGUCCCCUGCACAUCUGCGAUAACUUGUCGAGGCGAUCAGAUUGCUUGUGCAAAUCAACAAAAGUGUAUCCCAGCGUCUUACCGCUGCGAUGGAGACACUGACUGUAGUGAUGGAUCAGACGAACAAUGCA